AAUUGUCUUUUACUGUUUUCUACGUAGAGCUGGGAAGUUGUGAGGGUGGCACAUAAAGGUGAAAAUGGGGGGAAAAAAACGGGGUUUAUAGUUAGUGGAACUGGUCAAAAGGUUGAUCUCUCCAGCAGGGGAUGGUAUACCGAAGCUGAUGCUAGCACUCCCAGUGCUGUAAUGUGAAAUAGGUGGAAAUGGCAUCUGUCUGGAGUAGAGCUAAAUAUCGCGUUCCAGUUGCUGGCAAUCGGAUCUCUUACUGAAGCACACUAUUGUGAACAAGGCGCAGAUCAACAGGUUGAUCUUUUCAGCAGGGGAUGGUAUACUGAAGCUGCUGCUAGCACUCCCAGUGCAGUAAUGUGAAAUGGGAUCGGAAUGUGAGGUUUGCGCUCCAAGUGUCAGACCACAUUCAGGAUCACAGGACUUGCCAGUUCCCUUUAUUGAACUGGAGGGGAAAUAAUGGGUGGUGUUGGAGUUUCAUUGCAAUAAACCUGAAUGCACUGUUUCUGUAGGCCAAUAAAGUUUUUAGAGAA
Molecule: long non-coding RNA, 524 nt
Organism: Polyodon spathula (Mississippi paddlefish)
Lineage: Eukaryota; Metazoa; Chordata; Actinopteri; Acipenseriformes; Polyodontidae
Exons: 6
Source: RefSeq, a predicted model, not a curated record